RNAcentral lists this transfer RNA (67 nucleotides) under Marmota monax (woodchuck). RNAcentral's name for it is "tRNA.Ala". It matches the Rfam family "tRNA", at positions 6 to 65 of the family's 71-position model. Rfam says of the family: Transfer RNA (tRNA) molecules are approximately 80 nucleotides in length. Lineage: Eukaryota; Metazoa; Chordata; Mammalia; Rodentia; Sciuridae. The record is from RNAcentral.
GGUUGUGGCUCAGUGGUAGAGCGCUCGCCUAGCACGUGAGCGGGCCUGGGUUCGAUUCUCAGCACUA